UACGUAGGUGGCAAGCGUUGUCCGGAUUUAUUGGGCGUAAAGCGAGCGCAGGCGGAAAGAUAAGUCUGAUGUGAAAGCCCCCGGCUUAACCGAGGAAUUGCAUCGGAAACUGUGUUUCUUGAGUGCAGAAGAGGAGAGUGGAACUCCAUGUGUAGCGGUGGAAUGUGUAGAUAUCGGGAAGAACACCAAUGGCGAAGGCAGGUCUCUGGGCCGUUACUGACGCUGAGGAGCGAAAGCGUGGGGAGCGAACAGG
RNAcentral lists this ribosomal RNA (253 nucleotides) under uncultured Lactobacillus sp. RNAcentral's name for it is "partial 16S ribosomal RNA". It matches the Rfam family "Bacterial small subunit ribosomal RNA", at positions 524 to 776 of the family's 1533-position model. The record is from RNAcentral. Lineage: Bacteria; Bacillati; Bacillota; Bacilli; Lactobacillales; Lactobacillaceae.